This is a long non-coding RNA of Cyprinus carpio (common carp), 1188 nucleotides long. The record is from Ensembl. NCBI's taxonomy places the organism in Eukaryota, Metazoa, Chordata, Actinopteri, Cypriniformes, Cyprinidae.
UCUUGGCACCGUCAGGCCUCAUUGUUGCCAGUCCUGUGGAGGUGGUGCGGUUAGUGGGUGUGGAAGCUAAAUUAGCCUCUACCCCAGGCUGUAGGCCCUCCCGAGGGGGGUCCGCACUGCCCUGUGAGUAAGCUUGUACCGUGCUUGCCCUUGACAUGCCUUCUCCAUGGACGGUGGGACGGAGGAGCGCAGUGCCAGUGAGCUGAAUGGCACAAACCCGUGCCAGAUGGUACCAGCUGCGGCGAAACGCUCUCUGCGGUGGACACCUGUCCACUCCGUGCACCUCCAGGAGCCAUCAGUGCCCGCCCUAAAGAGCCGUCAGCGGGAAAUGAGGCGCUAACCCGGGAGUGAAAAGCCUGCGGGCCCUCGCCGGGUGCAUGCCGAGUCCUCGUCGGGCCACUCUAAUGAGGACGGGAGCCCGAGCCAAGACACGUUUAGCAGCCAUGCUGUUUACUUUAUCAUCAUUACUCAACUUGACCCUGGCCUCCACGUGUCUGCGAUGAUGCCGCGGCCAGGACGUGUCGUUGGGUUGGACAGACAGUCGGCACAUCUGACUCCGGGCCGAGAGACAGAGGGCAUGCUGGGACUGGGCACAGAGUGUUUGUGGAGGCCAUUACUCAAUGAAUGUUGUGUGAGGUUUGUGAACAAUAUCGAAGUUAAACCACAGAUUCUGUCAUUUUUACUAAAUCUGACUUUUUUUUUUUUUUUUUUUAAGAAUAUCCUGGUAAGAAUAUCCAAUAUGAAUAAAGGAGAACUGAGGCUGUCAAGCUCUACAGUUACAAAAAGGACGUCACACUUAUAGGAGGAGGACGGGGCAGGAAGUGGCUGAAGGUGUGGUGAGAAUGUGACACUCUGAAGGUUUCUCUUUUAAGUCAACACACACUCACACACUUGUACAUGUGCACCGUGUGCCAUUUCUCAGUCAUGGUUUUAACACACUUGCAUGUUUAAAUCAGCAUGCUGUAGGCGUUUAUCUGUUUAAUAUUUAUUUCUGUACUUUUUAUUUCAUCCAUGCCUUUUUUUUUUUGACGCAAUGAUACUUUGACUUCAGGAAUUGGAACUUAAAAGCAAAAGCAGUGUGAUGCAAAAUGAAGCAAACGUCUGGGGAAUUAUAGCUGGAUGUCGUAGCAAGUUUAAAGGCUUCACAAACAGUUAUUAAAAAAUAAAACAUAAUAAGCAUACUUUUCA